Molecule: ribosomal RNA, 32 nt
Filed under: Lasiodiplodia theobromae
Lineage: Eukaryota; Fungi; Ascomycota; Dothideomycetes; Botryosphaeriales; Botryosphaeriaceae
Description: partial 18S ribosomal RNA
Source: RNAcentral
UCCGUAGGUGAACCUGCGGAAGGAUCAUUACC